GAAUCCCGUCUUUGACACGGACUACCAGUGCUAUGUGAUGCGCUCUCGACGAGUCGAGUUGUUUGGGAAUGCAGCUCAAAACGGGUGGUAAAUUCCAUCUAAAGCUAAAUACAGGCGAGAGACCGAUAGCGAACAAGUACCGUGAGGGAAAGAUGAAAAGAACUUUGGAAAGAGAGUUAAACCGUACGUGAAAUUGCUGAAAGGGAAACGCUUGAUGUCAGUCGCGUCGGCCGGGGAUCAACCUUGCUUCUCGCUGGGUGUAUUUCCUGGUCGACGGGUCAGCAUCGGUUUCGGUCGCCGUACAAGGGCGAGGGGAACGUGGCACUCUUCGGAGUGUGUUAUAGCCUUUCGUCGCAUGCGGUGGUCGGGACCGAGGAACUCAGCACGGCUUCGGUCUGUGCUUAGGAUGCUGGCAUAAUGGCUUUAAUCGACCCGUCUUGAAACACGGACCAAGGAGUCUAACAUGCCUGCGAGUGUUUGGGUGAAAAACCCGAGCGCGUAAUGAAAGUGAAAGUUGAGAUCCCUGUCGUGGGGAGCAUCGACGCCCGGAGCAGACCUUUUGUGACGCAUCCGCGGUAGAGCAUGUAUGUUGGGACCCGAAAGAUGGUGAACUAUGCCUGAAUAGGGUGAAGCCAGAGGAAACUCUGGUGGAGGCUCGUAGCGAUUCUGACGUGCAAAUCGAUCGUCAAAUUUGGGUAUAGGGGCGAAAGACUAAUCGAACCAUCUAGUAGCUGGUUCCUGCC
RNAcentral lists this ribosomal RNA (743 nucleotides) under uncultured Xerocomus. Its description in RNAcentral is "partial 28S ribosomal RNA". It matches the Rfam family "Eukaryotic large subunit ribosomal RNA", at positions 216 to 962 of the family's 3401-position model. Lineage: Eukaryota; Fungi; Basidiomycota; Agaricomycetes; Boletales; Boletaceae. The record is from RNAcentral.